RNAcentral lists this long non-coding RNA (2339 nucleotides) under Arachis ipaensis. Its description in RNAcentral is "long non-coding RNA (AIPA_LNC002524)". The record is from RNAcentral. Lineage: Eukaryota; Viridiplantae; Streptophyta; Magnoliopsida; Fabales; Fabaceae.
UUGGCUAUGUUGCUCGCUCUGCCUUCAAGGUUCUCAAAACUUCUGUUUCUUCUUCUUCUUCUAACUAACUAACUAACUUUGAGUUAACAGCUAGUACAGAUACAGAAGCAGCACAAGCUCAUCAAGGCUGGCUCAUCCGUACUGGACCUCGGCUGUGCUCCGGGUGCUUGGCUUCAAGUUGCUUGCCAGAGCCUCGGUCCUCCCAAUCAUGGCGGUUCCGUUCUCGGCAUCAAUCUCAAGGUAACCCAAACCUCCAUCUCUCUCUUCCAUGGAAACACAGCUGAUAUUGUUGAAAUGUAUGUUACACUUUUUGAAGUCAAAGAGAGAAACUUGGAUUGGAGAAUACGCCAAAUAAUUAUUGUGCUUUCCUUUGCAUUCAGGUUUUUCAGUCGACUUAGAAUGGUUCCAGUAAUUGCAUUAGUUGGUUUUGAACUAUUUAACAGAGGGUUCCUUGUGGUACAUAUAACACCAGCCCCACUUACUGCAUUAUUAAUAGUGAAAUUCACGAUUAUUUUCUCAUCACUAAUAUGGUUUAGUAUACUAUUCUUAAUCUAAAUCUUUUGUGUUAGGUUGGGAGCUGCAUCGAAAUUGGAAUUCCCAUGCUAAUACUGUUUAUAGCCUUGUCUCAGGUACAAUUUAAAAGUAGACACUAAUGGAUUAGAAUUCUCGUGUCUAUCUUUCUCAAGGCAUAUUAAUUUUGGCAUGUUUCUUAGUAUUAUUGUAUAAUUAGGUAGCUGUUAUUGUAUAGGACAAGGGAAUAACAAGACAAUCCCAUCCAAAACUAAAAGAAGCACUCAUGAUCACGUAGGUCUAGUCGAUAUAUAACUGAAGCUAUAUACAUCUUUUACAUGAAUUAAACCAUCAUUCAUGCAGAAUAUAUAUAAUCAUCACCAUUAACACUUUUCAGUUUUUCCUACUCCCUACUUGGCACGCUAAUAAUGUCUUUCUCUAAUUUUAAUGAUUUACUUUGGGCUUCAAAUAAUUGAGUUUAUAUAUGAUUUACUUUCAGUUUUUCCUACUCCCUACUGGCGAUGGAUCUGUUAGACGAGAUCAAGUUGGUGGGGUCAAAAUACUCAGGUUAAUAUUUCAAUUGCAUAACCCUUAUAGAGUUCUAUUUUAUGUUUCAGAAUUGUUAUUCUGGUAAAUAAGGUUUAGUUCAAUAUUUAAUCUGUAUUGGUUUCUGUGUUGUUGGCUUAUGUAUUUUGCAGCUUGUUCAACAGGGUUCACUGAAUUAUAUUAGUUCCCAGGUAAAGCUGGCCCUCCUUGUCUCUCCCAAGUCUUGAAGACAUACUUAAUCAAUUUUUAACCCUUUAAUUCUUAUCUUCUGUGAGCUCUGAAGCAAUGGUAAAAGGAUUGGAGGAGUUAGUAAUCAAUUUUUAACCCUUUAAUCUGAGAAGGCUCAAAGUGAGCUGGAGCAUAGUCCAAUCUUCUCAUUCAGAACCAGAGAGUUGGAGCAUAGUCCAAUCACUAGUCUUCCACUACUACAUUACUAUAUAUCGAGAGUGCGUUUGAGCCUACAAGCUUCUAACUAAUAUUUUUCUCUUCAUGGAACAGUUGGUUGAAUCUAUUUUAAGCAAGGUUGUAGAAGAGUUCGAGCAUCAGAUUGCAAGCAGAGGAGGUGAACAGUUACAACCAAAAAUAACUUCAAGAGAUCCUGUUUCUCAAAGCAAUGGGUCUUCAAGAGGUGAACAGUUACAACAAAAAAUUUCUUGAAUGUAAGUAGAAUUGUCCAAUGAACAUGACAGCAUAGCAAAGAAAUAGGAAAGUGCUGUUGAUUCCUUUUAUUGUUGAUCUUUUUCUAGUCAUAUUCUAGCACUUGUUCUGUUUGGUUUAUUUUCUUGAGAGUAAAAACUAAAACGAGGUUCAGGGCAUACUAUAAGAGGUGAAUUUAAUACAUUAACAGAUGUAAUACAUUCGUUUUUUUUGAAAGAUAAUAUAAAAAAUAAUUAUUUUUAUUGUGGCAUGUAAUUGGAUGUAUUUGUAAAUUAAAUUCUUUUAAACAUUAGCCUGAAAAGAAAAUGUGCAAGUUUCAUUGAACCUUGAAAAGGGAUCGAGAUGGGGGGAGGGGCGGCGGGGGCACCCGAUUUCUUCUACAAGGAAGCUCAGCGCCUUGGCUAUGUUGCUCGCUCUGCCUUCAAGGUUCUCGAAACUUCUGUUUCUUCUUCUUCUUCUAACUAACUAACUAACUUUGAGUUAACAGCUAGUACAGAUACAGAAGCAGCACAAGCUCAUCAAGGCUGGCUCAUCCGUACUGGACCUCGGCUGUGCUCCGGGUGCUUGGCUUCAAGUUGCUUGCCAGAGCCUCGGUCCUCCCAAUCAUGGCGGUUCCGUUCUCGGCA